Molecule: transfer RNA, 73 nt
Filed under: Musa acuminata subsp. malaccensis (wild Malaysian banana)
Lineage: Eukaryota; Viridiplantae; Streptophyta; Magnoliopsida; Zingiberales; Musaceae
Rfam family: tRNA
About the family: Transfer RNA (tRNA) molecules are approximately 80 nucleotides in length. Their secondary structure includes four short double-helical elements and three loops (D, anti-codon, and T loops).
Source: Rfam by way of RNAcentral
GCGAGGAUAGCUCAAUUGGGAGAACGUCAGAUUGAAGAUCUAAAGGUCGCGUGUUUGAUCCAUGCUCAUCGUA